RNAcentral lists this non-coding RNA (746 nucleotides) under Carpelimus fuliginosus. The record is from RNAcentral. Lineage: Eukaryota; Metazoa; Arthropoda; Insecta; Coleoptera; Staphylinidae.
AUAAAGUUUUAUUCUAGCUUAGAAAAUUUAUUGAUAUAUUAAAAUUACAUAUAAAUUUUUAUUAGAAAAAAUAGUAAUAGUAAUUAAUUUUAAUUAUUAAAGUAAUUUAGAAUUAGAAAUAUAUUAAAGUUUAAACAAAAUUUGUGCCAGCAGUUGCGGUUAUACAAAUUAAGCAAUAAAUUUUUAUUUAAUUAUAAUAAAUUAUUUUAUUGAAAUUUUAUGUACAUAUAUUAAGUAAAAUUUUAAAUGUAUUAUAGAUUUUUAUUUUUAAAAAAAUAGUUAUUAAAUUUUAUUAAAAACUAGGAUUAGAUACCCUAUUAUUAAAAUGUAAAUUAUAAAAUUAAAUUAUUAACAGUUAUGGUCUCUAAAUUUAAAGAUUUUGGCGGUAUUUUAGUCUUUUCAGAGGAAUCUGUUAAUAUAAAUUGAUAUUCCACGAUAGAAUUAACUUAAUUUAUAAAUUUAUAUAUCGUUGUAGUUAAAUUUUUUAAAAGAAUUAAAAUGUUUAAUAAAUAUAAUUGUAUAGUAAAUCAGAUCAAGAUGUAGUGAAUAAUUAAGAAUUAAUGGAUUACAUUAUUAAAAAAUUUGGUUCUAUAGUUUUAAAUUAUAGAUAAAUUGGAUUUGACAGUAAUAGAUAAACUAUUAUUUUAUGAUUUAGCUCUAAAAUAUGCACAUAUUGCCCGUCGCUUUCAUUUAAAAUGAAAUAAGUCGUAACAUAGUAGAUUUACUGGAAAGUGAAUCUUGAAUGU